AACGAACGCUGGCGGCAGGCCUAACACAUGCAAGUCGGGCGCCCCGCAAGGGGAGCGGCAGACGGGUGAGUAACGCGUGGGAACGUGCCCUUCGGUUCGGAAUAACUCAGGGAAACUUGAGCUAAUACCGGAUACGUCCGUAAGGAGAAAGAUUUAUUGCCGAAGGAGCGGCCCGCGUCCGAUUAGCUAGUUGGUGAGGUAACGGCUCACCAAGGCGACGAUCGGUAGCUGGUCUGAGGAGAU
Molecule: ribosomal RNA, 243 nt
Filed under: uncultured bacterium
Lineage: Bacteria
Description: partial 16S ribosomal RNA
Rfam family: Bacterial small subunit ribosomal RNA
Source: RNAcentral